GCGGAAGUGGCGGAAUUGGCAGACGCGCAUGAUUCAGGUUCAUGUGGGUAAUUCCAUAGGGGUUCAACUCCCCUCUUCCGCA
RNAcentral lists this transfer RNA (82 nucleotides) under Candidatus Omnitrophota bacterium. RNAcentral's name for it is "Candidatus Omnitrophica bacterium tRNA-Leu". It matches the Rfam family "tRNA". From Rfam's summary of the family: Transfer RNA (tRNA) molecules are approximately 80 nucleotides in length. Lineage: Bacteria; Pseudomonadati; Candidatus Omnitrophota. The record is from RNAcentral.